RNAcentral lists this ribosomal RNA (532 nucleotides) under Amolops mantzorum (Kangting sucker frog). RNAcentral describes it as "partial large subunit ribosomal RNA". It matches the Rfam family "Bacterial large subunit ribosomal RNA", at positions 1814 to 2571 of the family's 2925-position model. The record is from RNAcentral. Lineage: Eukaryota; Metazoa; Chordata; Amphibia; Anura; Ranidae.
CACCGCCUCUUGCUCCAAAUAUAAGAGGUCCAGCCUGCCCAGUGACAUAGUUUAACGGCCGCGGUACCCUAACCGUGCGAAGGUAGCAUAAUCACUUGUUCUUUAAAUAAGGACUCGUAUCAACGGCAUCACGAGGGCUGUACUGUCUCCUUUCUCCAAUCAGUGAAACUGAUCUCCCCGUGAAGAAGCGGAGAUUGACCUAUAAGACGAGAAGACCCCAUGGAGCUUUAAACCCAACACACACCUCUACUCACUCAAAUCAGCAUAACCCAAGAGACUUAUGUGUUGGUUUUAGGUUGGGGGGACCGCGGAGUAAAAUCAAACCUCCAUGACAGACGGACUAACACCCUUAUCCAUGAACCACAAUUCUAAGAGCCAAUAAAUUGUUGUCUAAUGACCCAAUUACUUGAUCAACGAACCAAGUUACCCUGGGGAUAACAGCGCAAUCUACUUCAAGAGCCCCUAUCGACAAGUAGGUUUACGACCUCGAUGUUGGAUCAGGGUAUCCUAGUGGUGCAGCCGCUACUAAAGG